GCGGAGGAAAAGAAACCAACCGGGAUUGCCCCAGUAACGGCGAGUGAAGCGGCAAGAGCUCAAAUUUGAAAUCUGGCCCCUCCGGGGUCCGAGUUGUAAUUUGCAGAGGAUGCUUCGGGUGCGGCCCCUGUCUAAGUGCCCUGGAACGGGCCGUCAGAGAGGGUGAGAAUCCCGUCUUGGGCAGGGUGCCCGUGCCCGUGUGAAGCUCCUUCGACGAGUCGAGUUGUUUGGGAAUGCAGCUCUAAAUGGGUGGUAAAUUUCAUCUAAAGCUAAAUACCGGCCGGAGACCGAUAGCGCACAAGUAGAGUGAUCGAAAGAUGAAAAGCACUUUGAAAAGAGAGUUAAACAGCACGUGAAAUUGUUGAAAGGGAAGCGCUUGCGACCAGACUCGGCCUCGGGGUUCAGCCAGCAUUCGUGCUGGUGUACUUCCCCGGGGCCGGGCCAGCGUCGGUUCGGGCGGCCGGUCAAAGGCCCCAGGAAUGUAUCGUCCUCCGGGACGUCUUAUAGCCUGGGGUGCAAUGCGGCCAGCCUGGACCGAGGAACGCGCUUCGGCACGGACGCUGGCGUAAUGGUUGCAAACGACCCGUCUUGAAACACGGACCAAGGAGUCUAACAUCUACGCGAGUGUUCGGGUGUCAAACCCGUACGCGCAGUGAAAGCGAACGGAGGUGGGAGCCCCUUUGGGGCGCACCAUCGACCGAUCCUGAUGUCUUCGGAUGGAUUUGAGUACGAGCGUAGCUGUGGGGACCCGAAAGAUGGUGAACUAUGCCUGAAUAGGGCGAAGCCAGAGGAAACUCUGGUGGAGGCUCGCAGCGGUUCUGACGUGCAAAUCGAUCGUCAAAUUUGGGUAUAGGGGCGAAAGACUAAUCGAACCAUCUGGUAGC
This 884-nucleotide ribosomal RNA is filed under the name Aspergillus versicolor. RNAcentral describes it as "LSU rRNA". It matches the Rfam family "Eukaryotic large subunit ribosomal RNA", at positions 50 to 951 of the family's 3401-position model. Lineage: Eukaryota; Fungi; Ascomycota; Eurotiomycetes; Eurotiales; Aspergillaceae. The record is from RNAcentral.